Molecule: ribosomal RNA, 300 nt
Filed under: Pediococcus acidilactici
Lineage: Bacteria; Bacillati; Bacillota; Bacilli; Lactobacillales; Lactobacillaceae
Description: bacterial SSU rRNA
Rfam family: Bacterial small subunit ribosomal RNA
Source: RNAcentral
GUUUUCUUUUAAAAGAUGGCUCUGCUAUCACUUCUGGAUGGACCCGCGGCGCAUUAGCUAGUUGGUGAGGUAACGGCUCACCAAGGCGAUGAUGCGUAGCCGACCUGAGAGGGUAAUCGGCCACAUUGGGACUGAGACACGGCCCAGACUCCUACGGGAGGCAGCAGUAGGGAAUCUUCCACAAUGGACGCAAGUCUGAUGGAGCAACGCCGCGUGAGUGAAGAAGGGUUUCGGCUCGUAAAGCUCUGUUGUUAAAGAAGAACGUGGGUGAGAGUAACUGUCACCCAGUGACGGUNUACC